Molecule: long non-coding RNA, 1279 nt
Organism: Anguilla rostrata (American eel)
Lineage: Eukaryota; Metazoa; Chordata; Actinopteri; Anguilliformes; Anguillidae
Exons: 3
Source: RefSeq, a predicted model, not a curated record
GCACCUGUGUUGCAUUAACUAAUCAUGGGCCGAGACCGGGAGCACCCACAGAGAGAGCGACUUUUUGAGUUUCGUGUAAUUUGGUUUGAUCUGUCCGAGCAGGACACAACAAGGAAGUACGUCGCCUCUGAAAAGCAGUGAACUGACAAGUUGCCGCUCAGUUUUGCUUUAUUUUGUCUUUGUUAUUUUAGUUUGUUGUUUUUGCCUGGAACCCGUGAGUGGAAGGGUGACGGUGUUUUUGUUUAUUUAAUUUCGUGUUGGUGAGGGUGCGCGCUCUCUCUCUCUCUCUCCAUGCAGCAACCAAACACGGCGCACUCCUGGGACUGCUACUUUCCCAGGCUGUUAUUCGCCAUUCACCAGAUGGGGUAAUUGCUCACCUUCAGUUGGGUAAAUCCAGAGUGAGGGCGCCCCAGUCCAGCUUUUUUUUACGAUCGAUGAGCGGCUCCAGGACAAGAAAACGCGUGGAGAUCUGCGUGUGGAGUGAACGCUGCCCUUGGAAACUUUACAAAUCGAUGCAGCGACCGGUGAUUGGUGGAGAAACAUCGCGGAGAGGAUUUUGACGAUGACGAUGGCCAGGAACGUCACCAGGCCCGUCACCAGCGCCAUGGAGAUCCAGAUGAUCGUCAUGGUGUUGUACUUUAGGGGAACUGUAACACAAUCAUCCCGGUGAGUAACGGUGUUUAUAUAUUAAAAACACAUAAAACACAAAAAAAAAAAAAAAUCAAUUAUGACUCAGAAAAAACUUCAAGAACCAUCGCUUGAAAGGCUGCUGUGAGUUCACAAUGCCUGUCUGUCCAGCUAACAAGUUGUUCUUGGACUGCUAAGUGCACAAUUAAUUGCAAAGCAUGUCAUCUUUAUGGUUGUGUUAUGAGAUAAGCCAGACAGACCAUACCUGCUGUUUAGUUGUCCAUAAUAUUUUUAAAGCAUUUUUUAAGCAUUUUUUUCAAUAUCAGUAAAUGUUCCUAAAAACACAGGAGGCUCCAAAUACAAAUUCAAACCAAAACAAAGUGCAAACUUCUGUUUAGACGUAUCCUGCCUGCAUGAACAUAAGAUGUGCCAUGUUUUUAAUAUUUUUGAAAGUCUGACCAAAAGCUGCCACGGUACACUGGAGUCUGCAAGUUCUCUACACUGUCUGAAAAUAUCCACAAAUAUCCUUUAUAAAAUAAAAUUCAGCGAUUACACUACUGGCAUUAUGAUCCUCUGAACCACCUGGCAGUGAGAGAGUUGUUAGCUCUCAGCGGUUGGAGACAUCAUGUGACCUGCAGCUCGUGAACCCACC